ACUCCUACGGGAGGCAGCAGUGAGGAAUAUUGGUCAAUGGGCGAAAGCCUGAACCAGCCAUGUCGCGUGCAGGAAGACUGCCCUAUGGGUUGUAAACUGCUUUUAUACGGGAAUAAUUGCCCUACGUGUAGGGAGUUGCAUGUACCGUAUGAAUAAGCACCGGCUAACUCCGUGCCAGCAGCCGCGGUAAUACGGAGGGUGCGAGCGUUAAUCGGAAUUACUGGGCGUAAAGCGCAUGCAGGUGGUUUGUUAAGUCAGAUGUGAAAGCCCGGGGCUCAACCUCGGAAUAGCAUUUGAAACUGGCAGACUAGAGUACUGUAGAGGGGGUAGAAUUUCAGGUGUAGCGGUGAAAUGCGUAGAGAUCUGAAGGAAUACCGGUGGCGAAGGCGGCCCCUGGACAGAUACUGACACUCAGAUGCGAAAGCGUGGGGGAGCAAACAGGAUUAGAUACCCUGGUAGCGACUGAU
This 467-nucleotide ribosomal RNA is filed under the name uncultured bacterium. RNAcentral describes it as "bacterial SSU rRNA". It matches the Rfam family "Bacterial small subunit ribosomal RNA", at positions 335 to 799 of the family's 1533-position model. The record is from RNAcentral.